AGGACGAACGCUGGCGGCGUGCUUAACACAUGCAAGUGGAGCGACGAACCAGGGCUUGCCCUGGGGCAGAGCCGCGAACGGGUGAGUAACACGUGGGUUACCUGCCUUGAUGACCGGGACAACCCGAGGAAACUCGGGCUAAUACCGGAUGUGCCCGCAAGGGGAAAGGAAGCUUCGGCCUCCGCAUCAAGAUGGGCCCGCGGCCCAUUAGCUUGUUGGUGAGGUAACGGCUCACCAAGGCUUCGACGGGUAGCUGGUCUGAGAGGACGAUCAGCCACACUGGGACUGAGACACGGCCCAGACUCCUACGGGAGGCAGCAGUGGGGAAUCUUGCACAAUGGGCGAAAGCCUGAUGCAGCAACGCCUCGUGAGGGACGAAGGCUUUCUGAGUUGUAAACCUCUUUCAGCAGGGACGAUUGUGACGGUACCUGCAGAAGAAGCCCGGCAACUACGUGCCAGCAGUCGC
RNAcentral lists this ribosomal RNA (466 nucleotides) under uncultured bacterium. RNAcentral's name for it is "SSU rRNA". It matches the Rfam family "Bacterial small subunit ribosomal RNA", at positions 26 to 518 of the family's 1533-position model. The record is from RNAcentral.